RNAcentral lists this non-coding RNA (27 nucleotides) under Cricetulus griseus (Chinese hamster). The record is from RNAcentral. Lineage: Eukaryota; Metazoa; Chordata; Mammalia; Rodentia; Cricetidae.
UGCACAACUGCCCUGUCUUCUGUACGC